Molecule: ribosomal RNA, 483 nt
Filed under: uncultured bacterium
Lineage: Bacteria
Description: partial 16S ribosomal RNA
Rfam family: Bacterial small subunit ribosomal RNA
Source: RNAcentral
GACGAACGCUGGCGGCGUGCUUAACACAUGCCAGUCGAACGAUAAAGCGGGUCUUUUGACUCGUGCUCGAGUGGCGAACGGGCGAGUAACACGUGAGUAACCUGUCCUUUUCUUUGGGAUAACUUCUGGAAACGGGUGCUAAUACUGGAUAUUCAGUCUUGAUGCAUUGUGGGGGUUGGGAAGUGUCGUCUGUGGGGGUUGGUGGGGCUGCGGCUCAGCAGGUUGGUGGGGGGGUGAUUGCUUACCAAGUCUUUGACGGGUAGCCGGACGGGGAGGGUGGGCGGGCGCGCUGGGACUGAGAUACGGACCAGACUACUGCGGGAGGUAGCAGUGGAGAAUAUUGCACAAUGGACGGAAGUUUGAUGCAGCGACGGAGCGUGGAGGGUGUAGGCCUUGGUGUUGUGAACUCCUUUGUCUCGCGAAAAAGGCACAGUCUUGGCUGUGUUGAUGGUAGUGGGGAAAGAAGCGCCGGCUAACUACGUG